GAUGAACGCUGGCGGCGUGCCUAAUACAUGCAAGUCGAGCGAACAGACGAGUAGCUUGCUCCUCUGACGUUAGCGGCGGACGGGUGAGUAACACGUGGAUAACCUACCUAUAAGACUGGGAUAACUUCGGGAAACCGGAGCUAAUACUGGAUAAUAUAUUGAACCGCAUGGUUCAAUAGUGAAAGACGGUUUUGCUGUCACUUAUAGAUGGAUCCGCGCCGCAUUAGCUAGUUGGUAAGGUAACGGCUUACCAAGGCAACGAUGCGUAGCCGACCUGAGAGGGUGAUCGGCCACACUGGAACUGAGACAAGGUCCAGACUCCUACGAGAGGCAGCAGUAGGGAAUCUUCCGCAAUGGGCGAAAGCCUGACGGAGCAACGACGCGUGAGUGAUGAAGGUCUUCGGAUCGUAAAACUCUGUUAUUAGGGAAGAACAAAUGUGUAAGUAACUAUGCACGUCUUGACGGUACCUAAUCAGAAAGCCACGGCUAACUACGUG
This 497-nucleotide ribosomal RNA is filed under the name uncultured bacterium. RNAcentral describes it as "partial 16S ribosomal RNA". It matches the Rfam family "Bacterial small subunit ribosomal RNA", at positions 28 to 507 of the family's 1533-position model. The record is from RNAcentral.